CCUACGGGCGGCAGCAGUGGGGGAUAUUGCACAAUGGGGGAAACCCUGAUGCAGCGACGCCGCGUGAGUGAAGAAGUAUUUCGGUAUGUAAAGCUCUAUCAGCAGGGAAGAAAAAAGACGGUACCUGACUAAGAAUCCCCGGCUAACUACGUGCCAGCAGCCGCGGUAAUACGGAGGGGGCAAGCGUUAUCCGGAUUUACUGGGUGUAAAGGGAGCGUAGGAGGGAAUUCAAGUCGGAAGUGAAAUACCCGGGCGUAACCUGGGAAUUGCUUUGGAAACUGGAUGGCUGGAGUGCUGGAGAGGUGAGCGGAAUGCCAAGUGUAGCGGUGAAAUGCGUAGAUAUAAGGAGGAAAACCAGUGGCGAAGGCGGCUCACUGGACAGUAACUGACGUUGAGGCUCGAAAGCGUGGGGAGCAAACAGGAUUAGAUACCCGUGUAGUC
This 441-nucleotide ribosomal RNA is filed under the name uncultured bacterium. RNAcentral describes it as "partial 16S ribosomal RNA". It matches the Rfam family "Bacterial small subunit ribosomal RNA", at positions 338 to 795 of the family's 1533-position model. The record is from RNAcentral.